This 263-nucleotide unclassified non-coding RNA is filed under the name plant metagenome. Its description in RNAcentral is "partial contains small subunit ribosomal RNA, internal transcribed spacer 1, and 5.8S ribosomal RNA". The record is from RNAcentral.
UUUCCGUAGGUGAACCUGCGGAAGGAUCAUUAUUGUAUAACCGAGGUGCGAGGGCUGUCGCUGACCCGAAAGGUCGUGCACGCCCGUGUGCCCUCACACACAUCCAUCUCACCCCUAUGUGCACCACCGCGUGGGUCCCCCUUUGGCUUGUUCGGAGGGGGGCUUACGUUUUCACACAAACUUUGUAUGCAGUGUAGAAUGUAUUUUUUGUUUUUGCGAUCACGCAGUCAAUACAACUUUCAACAACGGAUCUCUUGGCUCUC